CUAUAGAACUAUCAAAUUUUCUUUGUUCACUUUCAAUUUCAUGAUUGUGAUGUGAAACACACAUUCGUUAUAGCCGAUCCAGUCCAUAAUGGUUUACCGGUGCAAAAGGCAAAUGUUUGUGUCCUGUUGACUGCAUGUCGUGGUUUCUGAUGAUCGUGUUCCCCCUUUUCUAGCUGAUCUGUAUAGUAUAAGGUAUAUAACAAUAUGAUAGUUACAAUUAGGCAUGGAUGCUAUUUAAGCAGUGCUGCAUAGAAUCCCCUGCAUUUAUAAGUGUACAAUCCCUUGACUGGCCAGUGCGAAAACUUACAUUAUUUGUGUUUGGUUUAUUUUGGUACAGCCAAAGCAAAGAAAAAAUCCCACUAAUCUUGCAAUAGUAGUCUCGAAAUUAUAUUUGACUAAGUGGACAUUUAUAUGAUUUUCCCUUGCAGAGAUAUAUAUUCAUUUUUUCUCUAAUUUUUCCUGCCUUUCUGAUGGUACUGUGGCAUUAGUCCAUAAGAUACACCUGUGUUUUUUGUUUAUUUUUCUUAAUUUUUAUAUUCUUCGACUCAUCUGUGUGAUCAUCAAAUGUCUGUGAUUCCUUGCAGCAAUGGCUUUGAUCUGGUACUUCCGUGCACCCUCAAUUUAUAGGGUUGUUCCAGUUUUCUCCUCUGCUGUGCACGGAGUAUAUGGUACAAUAUUGUUUCUACGGUUUCUACAUAGUGCUCAAGCAAUUUCUACACAGUUCUUCUACAUGAUUACCAAGCAUUUUUUUCACCCGAUUUCUGUCAUGGGUUCUAUUAUCUAUUGGAAUUCCUGAUGUUAUUUUCGUUUUCCAUUUAUUGGCUUCAACGGAAUCCAUGGAACCGAAUUUGGUGUAAAAUCGUUGUUGUUUGCUGUAAUUGGCUCAGACAAUCUAUUCGUGCUUACAUUUGUUGUUUACAAACUGUUGACUAGCGUUUGUUUUGCAGGUUGCGCUGCUGUUUGGUAUUGAGGUUCUUUCUUCGCGUUGUGCUUGCCGAGUCUCUCAGAUAGCUAUAUGAGUUACACCUUGACGUUGGAAAUGUAGGCUUACCUGUGGCUUAUUUUGGUCUUCUUAACAAAGCUUAAGACAUCCUUUUCCAUGAGGAGGUGGUGCGAAUUUCACGGGGCCGUGUGCCAAAUCGUGUUUAAGCUAUGGAUGUCGGUGAGAUUCCAUCCAGGGUCAUGAUCAAGGCGGCAUUCACUGCAGUUUCCAAAGUCAUUCACAACACCAUACCCACCAAGGGCGAAUAGAGAAGUGCCGGUGACAUUCUCUCCGACAACAUGUCAUAAACAUCAUUCCGAUGGAGAAGUCCGACUAUACAACCAACAACCUUUGACAUGUGGUACUAAUGACAGUUUACAUAGUGUUUUUAGCUAUCGAAUAGUUUUUUUUCCAUUUGAUGUUUUAUUACCGUCGAUAUCUAUAGAUGCUUAAUAUAGUACUUUACAAACUAUUUACCGGAGCCGCGAGCCAUGGCAAGCCCCAAAAUAUUGCUCUACUUCCUCUUUUCUUCAUUGAUUUCA
Long non-coding RNA from Lolium perenne, 1524 nucleotides. RefSeq lists it as uncharacterized. The record is from RefSeq and is a predicted model, not a curated record. Lineage: Eukaryota; Viridiplantae; Streptophyta; Magnoliopsida; Poales; Poaceae.